AGAAUCAACGCUGGCGGCGUGCCUAACACAUGCAAGUCGAACGGGAAAGUGGAGCAAUCCAUGAGUAUAGUGGCGACCGGGUGAGUAACACGUGACUAACCUACCCUUGAGUGGGGGAUAACCUCGGGAAACCGGGGCUAAUACCGCAUAAAAUCUUCGGGAUGAGAAGCUGGAGAUCAAAGGAGCAAUUCGCUUUUGGAGGGGGUCGCGGCUGAUUAGCUAGUUGGCGGGGUAACGCCCACCAAGGCUUGAUCGGUAUCCGGCCUGAGAGGGCGCACGGACACACUGGAACUGAAACACGGUCCAGACUCCUACGGGAGGCAGCAGUGGGGAAUUUUGCGCAAUGGGGGAAACCCUGACGCAGCAACGCCGCGUGGAGGAUGAAGUCCCUUGGGACGUAAACUCCUUUCGACCGGGAAGAUGAUGACGGUACCGGUGGAAGAAGCCCCGGCUAACUCGUGCCAGCAGCCGC
This 472-nucleotide ribosomal RNA is filed under the name uncultured bacterium. RNAcentral describes it as "SSU rRNA". It matches the Rfam family "Bacterial small subunit ribosomal RNA", at positions 26 to 518 of the family's 1533-position model. The record is from RNAcentral.